GAUGAACGCUGGCGGCGUGCCUAAUACAUGCAAGUCGGGCGAACAGACGAGGAGCUUGCUCCUCUGACGUUAGCGGCGGACGGGUGAGUAACACGUGGAUAACCUACCUAUAAGACUGGGAUAACUUCGGGAAACCGGAGCUAAUACCGGAUAAUAUAUUGAACCGCAUGGUUCAAUAGUGAAAGACGGUUUUGCUGUCACUUAUAGAUGGAUCCGCGCCGCAUUAGCUAGUUGGUAAGGUAACAGCUUACCAAGGCAACGAUGCGUAGCCGACCUGAGAGGGUGAUCGGCCACACUGGAACUGAGACACGGUCCAGACUCCUACGGGAGGCAGCAGUAGGGAAUCUUCCGCAAUGGGCGAAAGCCUGACGGAGCAACGCCGCGUGAGUGAUGAAGGUCUUCGGAUUGUAAAACUCUGUUAUUAGGGAAGAACAAAUGUGUAAGUAACUAUGCACGUCUUGACGGUACCUAAUCAGAAAGCCACGGCUAACUACGUG
Molecule: ribosomal RNA, 497 nt
Filed under: uncultured bacterium
Lineage: Bacteria
Description: partial 16S ribosomal RNA
Rfam family: Bacterial small subunit ribosomal RNA
Source: RNAcentral